RNAcentral lists this ribosomal RNA (301 nucleotides) under uncultured bacterium. Its description in RNAcentral is "partial 16S ribosomal RNA". It matches the Rfam family "Bacterial small subunit ribosomal RNA", at positions 509 to 807 of the family's 1533-position model. The record is from RNAcentral.
CAGUAGCCACGGUAAUACGUAGGGUGCGAGCGUUAAUCGGAAUUACUGGGCGUAAAGCGUGCGCAGGCGGUUGUGUAAGACAGAUGUGAAAUCCCCGGGCUUAUCCUGGGAACUGCAUUUGUGACUGGCGAGCUAGAGUAUGGCAGAGGGGGGUAGAAUUCCACGUGUAGCAGUGAAAUGCGUAGAGAUGUGGAGGAAUACCGAUGGCGAAGGCAGCCCCCUGGUCCAUUACUGACGCUCAUGCACGAAAGCGUGGGGAGCAAACAGGAUUAGAUACCCCUGUAGUCCCUGUCUCUUAUAC